GGCUGGUCCAAAGGUAGUGAGUUACCUCACUUGAUUGUUCACAAGUAACAGAUUGAAUUCCUUGUUCUAUUCUUCCCCCUUCUUGCUACUGUACUUGAGUAUUCUUUU
Otolemur garnettii (small-eared galago) is the source of this 108-nucleotide unclassified non-coding RNA. It matches the Rfam family "Y RNA". From Rfam's summary of the family: Y RNAs are components of the Ro ribonucleoprotein particle (Ro RNP), in association with Ro60 and La proteins. The Y RNAs and Ro60 and La proteins are well conserved, but the function of the Ro RNP is not known. Lineage: Eukaryota; Metazoa; Chordata; Mammalia; Primates; Galagidae. The record is from Ensembl.